This 253-nucleotide ribosomal RNA is filed under the name uncultured bacterium. Its description in RNAcentral is "partial 16S ribosomal RNA". It matches the Rfam family "Bacterial small subunit ribosomal RNA", at positions 524 to 776 of the family's 1533-position model. The record is from RNAcentral.
UACGUAGGGCGCAAGCGUUGUCCGGAAUUAUUGGGCGUAAAGGGCGCGUAGGCGGCGCGAGCAGUCGAUCGUGAAAGUCCGGAGCUCAACUCCGGAUCGGCGGUCGAUACUCUCGUGCUUGAGCACUGUAGAGGCAGAUGGAAUUCCGGGUGUAGCGGUGGAAUGCGUAGAGAUCCGGAAGAACACCGGUGGCGAAGGCGGUCUGCUGGGCAGUUGCUGACGCUGAGGCGCGACAGCGUGGGGAGCAAACAGG